RNAcentral lists this long non-coding RNA (116 nucleotides) under Mus caroli (Ryukyu mouse). RNAcentral's name for it is "lncRNA (MGP_CAROLIEiJ_G0004801.1)". The record is from RNAcentral. Lineage: Eukaryota; Metazoa; Chordata; Mammalia; Rodentia; Muridae.
UUACUCGAAACUCACAUCCACAGAAACGCUAUGUAGGGCGCCAAAGGCGACGCGCUGGCGGCCAGCUCCAAGCCAACCAGACCCAUUGCGUCCGUCUGCAGGAACCUGUCUCUUCA